CUUCCCGCCUGCGCGCUCGGCCAAGUGCGGCCGGGUCCUGCGGGACCGGCCCGAGUCCGCCGUAGACAACUUGAUCCGCUAAGACUCCUGGGCCGGCCGCCUGCGUGCAGGGCAGCCCCUCGCCGGUGUUGGCCUCCGGGAUCAGGGGACGGGGCUCGCUCUCCUCCCGGGCCCGGGCCCCCGACGCAAGAUGGCUGUGUCGCGUCGGCCUCUAAACAAUGUGUGGAGCGCGCAGCUCCUGCACCAGGGCCUGGUGGCUUGUCCUGCCCGCCCGUGGGGGCCGUGUGAUCUGUUUUCGAAGAAGGCAAACGUGGUUUGGGAAUUAGUACAUAUACCUGUUUUCCAAUUCUCAGUAGCAUAGGAAACGGACUUUUCAUGGCCCAAGUUAUCCUCACGACUUGUCAGUUGAUUGGCUUUGGAACCUCUGAACCGUCCCUAGAUGGUAUUGACGCUUCACAACUGUGUGUAAAGGUUUUCAAUGGAAGGGUCAUGCAAAUAUCCCGUAGGGUAGUGAAGGAGGAAAAUUUCAUAAAUGAAGGGCAGUAAUUAUUUGUAAUCUGAAGAUCUCACAAAGCGGCUUAGUGAUAAACAUUAUCCCGAAACAGAUACAUGGAAAUCAGAUACGAGGGAAGAAAUGGAUUUGUCCAAGGUCACUUAAGUGAGGAAGAGACCUAGGAGAAACAAACAGACAAAAAUCCAGGCCUCCCGUUUCAUUAUUAUUUCAUGAAUGUUAAGUGUCCAUGGUUGCUGUGCAGAACACAUGCAAUCUCUAAUCCUAUCCUAAAAGCACAUAUGCAAUCAGCUUGGACCGAGCUGCCAGCAAAGAAUUUCCUAUAAUUCAAGCCAAGAUGAGUUAUUUUGCUUGUUUUUUGUUUUGUUUUCAGGAAACCGAAAUAUUUAUUGUUGGAUUUAUCCAGGAAGGCUGUUCUGCAUUAGUUAAAUGCAUCAUAUCUUCAAGAAAUGUUAAAUGACAUGGAUGCUUCCAGCCCUGAAGCAUCAGACUCCAGGUUCUUUGGCUUUUGGACUCUUGGAGUUACACCAGUGGUUUCCCAGGAACUCUCCAGCCUUGGGCCACAGACUGAAGUUUGCACUGUCGGCUUCCCUGCUUUUGAGGUUUUGUGACUCAGACUGAGCCAACUGGCUUCCUUGCUCUUCAGGUUGCGGACGGCCUAUCGUGGGACUUUGCCUUGUGAUUGUGUGAGUCAAUUGUCCUUAAUAAACUGCCUUUCAUAUAUACAUCUAUCCUAUUAGUUCUGUCCCUCUGGAGAACUCUGACUGCUGAUACACAUAGCAAGACCCCGUCUCUAAAAAAAAGAGAGAAAGGCACAUUGGAAAAUAGAGAAUAGAUCAAGAAAACAAUCCACUCAUAAUUCCAUUACCCUAUCACUACCACUAGUAGCAUUCCAAAAAGGUUUUCAUUAUUAAUUCAGGUUGGUGCUAUAGUGGGUACACAGGGUCAAGGGGAAGGUACCUGCAAAGUCUAAGUGAAGCAAAGACUAUCCUUUGAGAAUGAAAUUAGGAAAAAUUGUUGAGAUCAGCCCUCUAUAGCAAUGGCCCAAUCUAUGAAACUGAAAUAACUUUGCUGAGACAUUUCAGCUUUCUCAUCUGUAAAAUGGCAAUAAUACUUGAAUUCCCUCCUUUUCAGACUUGUUGUGAGAUUAAAAUAAAAUAAUAAAAAGCAACAAAUUAUAAAGUCAUUAGUAAAUGGAUGUAUCCUACUGUGUCAUGAUUAUCCAAUUUAUUUAAAUGACAUAGGCAAUCAAAUUUCAUAAUUCAGGAUUUAAAAAAUUGUACUUGGGGCCUCUCAAUUCCUUUCCUGUCUGAUUUGGUGAAAUAUAAUAGGUAGGUAGUUGGUAAAUAAGUCUUGUUUCUCACAGGUUGUAUAUAUCUAUCUGGUUGGAAAUAAAAUAAAGAUAUGGCAGACUAAUGCCUAUUUGCACGUGCUUUUAGAACAUCUCUACUGUACUGUAGCACCAUUAGAUGAUUAGUAUUAGUAACUAAUGCUCUGGAAGUAUGAGAAUAAUAAAAUAAUGAUGAAAAC
This 2041-nucleotide long non-coding RNA is filed under the name Homo sapiens (human). Its description in RNAcentral is "non-protein coding lnc-SDE2-1:9". Lineage: Eukaryota; Metazoa; Chordata; Mammalia; Primates; Hominidae. The record is from RNAcentral.